This 783-nucleotide ribosomal RNA is filed under the name Bacillus sp. KSUM_25. RNAcentral describes it as "bacterial SSU rRNA". It matches the Rfam family "Bacterial small subunit ribosomal RNA", at positions 48 to 816 of the family's 1533-position model. The record is from RNAcentral. Lineage: Bacteria; Bacillati; Bacillota; Bacilli; Caryophanales; Bacillaceae.
CUAAUACAUGCAAGUCGAGCGGACUUUAAAAGCUUGCUUUUAAAGUUAGCCGCGGACGGGUGAGUAACACGUGGGCAACCUGCCUGUAAGACUGGGAUAACUUCGGGAAACCGGAGCUAAUACCGGAUAAUCCUUUUCUACACAUGUAGAAAAGCUGAAAGACGGUUUACGCUGUCACUUACAGAUGGGCCCGCGGCGCAUUAGCUAGUUGGUGAGGUAACGGCUCACCAAGGCAACGAUGCGUAGCCGACCUGAGAGGGUGAUCGGCCACACUGGGACUGAGACACGGCCCAGACUCAUACGGGAGGCAGCAGUAGGGAAUCUUCCGCAAUGGACGAAAGUCUGACGGAGCAACGCCGCGUGAGUGAUGAAGGUUUUCGGAUCGUAAAACUCUGUUGUUAGGGAAGAACAAGUACAAGAGUAACUGCUUGUACCUUGACGGUACCUAACCAGAAAGCCACGGCUAACUACGUGCCAGCAGCCGCGGUAAUACGUAGGUGGCAAGCGUUGUCCGGAAUUAUUGGGCGUAAAGCGCGCGCAGGCGGUCCUUUAAGUCUGAUGUGAAAGCCCACGGCUCAACCCUGGAGGGUCAUUGGAAACUGGGGGACUUGAGUGCAGAAGAGAAGAGUGGAAUUCCACGUGUAGCGGUGAAAUGCGUAGAGAUGUGGAGGAACACCAGUGGCGAAGGCGACUCUUUGGUCUGUAACUGACGCUGAGGCGCGAAAGCGUGGGGAGCAAACAGGAUUAGAUACCCUGGUAGUCCACGCCGUAAACGAUGAGUGC